RNAcentral lists this small nucleolar RNA (85 nucleotides) under Macleaya cordata. The record is from RNAcentral. Lineage: Eukaryota; Viridiplantae; Streptophyta; Magnoliopsida; Ranunculales; Papaveraceae.
UUUCUGUUAUGCAUUUCCAUUAAAACCUACUGAUCUGUUUAGAAAACAAUAGCAGGAGAAAGGAAGAGGAAGAGGGAGAGAGAGA